RNAcentral lists this ribosomal RNA (698 nucleotides) under uncultured Mycoplasma sp. RNAcentral describes it as "bacterial SSU rRNA". It matches the Rfam family "Bacterial small subunit ribosomal RNA", at positions 199 to 915 of the family's 1533-position model. Lineage: Bacteria; Bacillati; Mycoplasmatota; Mollicutes; Mycoplasmatales; Mycoplasmataceae. The record is from RNAcentral.
CUUGAAAGGAGCAAUCCGCUUUGGAAUUGGGAUAUGGUCUAUUAGCUAGUUGGCGGGAUAAAAGCCCCCCAAGGCGAUGAUAGAUAGCUGGAUUGAGAAGUUGAACAGCCACAAUGGGAUUGAGAUACGGCCCAUAUUCCUACGGGAAGCAGCAGUAGGGGAUCUUCCACAAUGGGCGAAAGCCUGAUGGAGCAAUACCAUGUGAACGACGAAGGUCUUAUUGAUUGUAAAGUUCUUUUAAGAGGGAUAAAACAAGAUGGUACCUCUUGAAUAAGUGACAGCAAACUAUGUGCCAGCAGCUGCGGUAAUACAUAGGUCGCGAGCGUUAUUCGGAUUUAUUGGGCGUAAAGAGAGCGCAGGCGGAUGGAUAAGUUCUGUGUGAAAGGUAGCCGCUCAACGGUUACUUGCGCCGAAUACUGUCUGUCUAGAAUACGGUAGGGAGGUUCGGAAUUGAAUGUGGAGCGGUGGAAUGUGUAGAUAUAUUCAAGAACACCAGAGGCGAAGGCGGAACCUUAGGCCGAUAUUGACGCUUAGGCUCGAAAGUGUGGGGAGCAAAUGGGAUUAGAUACCCCAGUAGUCCACACCGUAAACGAUGGAUAUUUGAUGUUGGGAGUUGAGAGUCUCAGCGUUGUAGCUUACGUGUUAAAUAUCCCGCCUGGGUAGUACAUAUGCAAAUAUGAAACUCAAAGGAAUUGACG